UUGGAGGGCAAGUCUGGUGCCAGCAGCCGCGGUAAUUCCAGCUCCAAUAGCGUAUAUUAAAGUUGUUGCAGUUAAAAAGCUCGUAGUUGAAUUUCGGGAUCAGACUGUCGGUCGUGCCUCGGUACGCACUGGCAUUAUUGGUUCCUACCUUCUGAAGAACCGCGAUGUCAUUAAUUUGGUGUCGUGGGGAAUCAGGACUGUUACUUUGAAAAAAUUAGAGUGUUUAAAGCAGGCGCACGCUUGAAUACAUUAGCAUGGAAUAAUGAAAUAGGACGUUUGAUUCUAUUUUGUUGGUUUCUAGGAUCGACGUAAUGAUUAAUAGGGAUAGUUGGGGGCAUUAGUAUUCAAUUGUCAGAGGUGAAAUUCUUGGAUUUAUUGAAGACUAACUACUGCGAAAGCAUUUGCCAAGGAUGUUUUCAUUAAUCAAGAACGAAAGUUAGGGGAUCGAAGACGAUCAGAUACCGUCGUAGUCUUAACCAUAAACUAUGCCGACUAGGGAUCGGAUGAUGUUAAUUUUUUAAUGACUCAUUCGGCGCCUUACGGGAAAC
Molecule: ribosomal RNA, 548 nt
Filed under: uncultured Glomus
Lineage: Eukaryota; Fungi; Glomeromycota; Glomeromycetes; Glomerales; Glomeraceae
Description: SSU rRNA
Rfam family: Eukaryotic small subunit ribosomal RNA
Source: RNAcentral